This is a long non-coding RNA of Clupea harengus (Atlantic herring), 592 nucleotides long. RefSeq lists it as uncharacterized. The transcript has 2 exons. Lineage: Eukaryota; Metazoa; Chordata; Actinopteri; Clupeiformes; Clupeidae. The record is from RefSeq and is a predicted model, not a curated record.
GGUGGGGAUGGCUCACGGAUUUGGACAGAUUUCAACCACUGACCUCACAGAUUUCAGUCAUGUUAUCUUGACAGGUGUGAAGUGUUUCUUCUCUCUGUUGCCCUUCUUCUAGAUUCUCUGCCUCUUUUACCACGAGGACUUGCACCCUUUUCUCCUCCUCUCUCCAGCUCAUCCCCUCUUCUGCCUCUUUUACCACGAGGACCUGCACCCUUUUCUCCUCCUCCUCUCUCUAGCUCAUCCUCUCUGCCUUCUGCCUCUCCUGACCAGCCCUCAAUGGCUUCACUGGUCUCUGGUGUGCAUAUGAUGUCUUACCUCCGUGUGCGGUGUGGGGCGGCACUGCAGGUAAGUAUAUCAGGAUAUAUCCUAUACAGGAUAUCACCAUGUGGUCCAUAUCUUAUGUUCUCCUCCUUGUGCUUUCUUGAGAGAGUGCUGUACUGCACUAACAUAUCCUUUCUGCAUUAUUAAACUUCUACACAACAGGUUGUCAUUGUAGGAACUAUUGAGUCUCUGAGCAUAAAUGCUUAGUAGUGAGGAGUUAUAUAUUGUAGAUAAGUUUUACAAUUCAUUCCACCCAAAAAAGUCCAGCAAGAAG